GCUUGCCGGGUGUACAGUUUUUUCUUUUUUAUCCCUAACUUUUGCCCGAACCUUUUUCUUCUUUUUCUCUUGGUUCGUCGGGAUGCCCUUUUUUUUGCCUGGACUCUUUUAUUCUUUUCAUCCAGCGGGUCUCUUUUACGAAGUAUUUUUUCUAACUGCGUCCGCACUCACAGGGGAUGGAAAUCCUCACCAUCCAUGGUCGUCAGCAACAAGGCUCUGCCAGAGAAAACCUUCUUGACCAUGAAUGAACAUUCAUAAUUGUGUGUCCAC
Molecule: long non-coding RNA, 270 nt
Filed under: Lathyrus oleraceus (garden pea)
Lineage: Eukaryota; Viridiplantae; Streptophyta; Magnoliopsida; Fabales; Fabaceae
Description: Pisum sativum (pea) long non-coding RNA (PSAT_LNC016396)
Source: RNAcentral